Budorcas taxicolor (takin) is the source of this 102-nucleotide small nuclear RNA. Lineage: Eukaryota; Metazoa; Chordata; Mammalia; Artiodactyla; Bovidae. The record is from RefSeq and is a predicted model, not a curated record.
ACUUUUUCAUUAUUUUCACACUAAAAUUGGAACAAUACAGAGAAGAUUAGCAUGACCCCUGCGCAAGGAUGACACACAAAUUUGUGAACGUUCUGUAUUUUU